Molecule: ribosomal RNA, 484 nt
Filed under: uncultured bacterium
Lineage: Bacteria
Description: partial 16S ribosomal RNA
Rfam family: Bacterial small subunit ribosomal RNA
Source: RNAcentral
AAUGAACGCUGGCGGAAUGCCUAACACAUGCAAGUCGAGCGGCAGCACGGGGGCAACCCUGGUGGCGAGCGGCGAACGGGUGAGUAAUACACCGGAACAUGCCCUGUCGUGGGGGAUAACACUUCGAAAGAAGUGCUAAUACCGCAUACGUCCUGAGGGGGAAAGCGGGGGAUCGCAAGACCUCGCGCGAUUGGAGUGGCCGAUGUCAGAUUAGCUAGUUGGUGGGGUAAAGGCCUACCAAGGCAACGAUCCGUAGCUGGUCUGAGAGGAUGAUCAGCCACACUGGGACUGAGACACGGCCCAGACUCCUACGGGAGGCAGCAGUGGGGAAUUUUGGACAAUGGGGGCAAGCCUGAUCCAGCCAUGCCGCGUGAGUGAUGAAGGCCUUCGGGUUGUAAAGCUCUUUCGGCAGGAACGAAACGGUGAGCUCUAACAUAGCUUGCUAAUGACGGUACCUGAAGAAGAAGCACCGGCUAACUACGUG